UACCCCUCAUUUUCGUUCCACCCACACCACUUUCCCCCAAAUUCUCCCCAACCUGAAAAUCCCUUCAGCCCUAGCUCCGUUAGCCCGUCGGUCGGUAGAGGUAUAGUUUGGAUACGGAGGAGCUUGCAGCUUGAGGUGAAGCUGUUGGUGUUGAUUCAAGCUUUCACAUUUUCAAGCUUUCUUAAUUAUAACCCCCUCUUGUCAUCGGCUUGUGUCGCAAUUUCGGCGGCGACCGAAUAGAAGAGGGAGAGGAGAUGAGUCGGACAACAGCCAAAGUGUUUCUGUUGAGGUCGUUGUUGAUGAAGAGAUCUGUUUCGUGUAGCGCUGAAGUUUUUCUGUCUAGGCACCGCCGGAGAUGAGAAAUUUGAAGAAUAGAGAAAUGGAGUAUGUGCUUACGUCAUUUUCGUCGGAAUACAUAAAUAAAUAAAUUGUUUUAUGUCAAAACCGAGUUUAUAUCUUGCAUUUCAAUUUCAAUUUUAAUUUUAAUUUUAAUUUUAAUUUUAAUUUUAAUUUUAAUUUUAAUUUUAAUUUUAAUUUUAAUUUUAA
This is a long non-coding RNA of Salvia splendens (bonfire salvia), 546 nucleotides long. RefSeq lists it as uncharacterized. The record is from RefSeq and is a predicted model, not a curated record. Lineage: Eukaryota; Viridiplantae; Streptophyta; Magnoliopsida; Lamiales; Lamiaceae. The transcript has 2 exons.